UACGUAGGGGGCGAGCGUUGUCCGGAUUUACUGGGCGUAAAGGGUGAGUAGGCGGUUAUAUAUGUCAGAUGUAAAAGGCACAGGCUUAACUUGUGUAAGCAUUUGAAACUGUAUAACUUGAGUGCAGGAGAGGUAAGUGGAAUUCCUAGUGUAGCGGUGAAAUGCGUAGAUAUUAGGAGGAACACCAGUGGCGAAGGCGACUUACUGGACUGUAACUGACGCUGAGUCACGAAAGCGUGGGUAGCAAACAGG
Molecule: ribosomal RNA, 252 nt
Filed under: uncultured bacterium
Lineage: Bacteria
Also listed under: 1 other name
Description: partial 16S ribosomal RNA
Rfam family: Bacterial small subunit ribosomal RNA
Source: RNAcentral